GCAGGCCUAACACAUGCAAGUCGAGCGGCAGCGACAACAUUGAACCUUCGGGGGAUUUGUUGGGCGGCGAGCGGCGGACGGGUGAGUAAUGCCUAGGAAAUUGCCCUGAUGUGGGGGAUAACCAUUGGAAACGAUGGCUAAUACCGCAUGAUGCCUACGGGCCAAAGAGGGGGACCUUCGGGCCUCUCGCGUCAGGAUAUGCCUAGGUGGGAUUAGCUAGUUGGUGAGGUAAGGGCUCACCAAGGCGACGAUCCCUAGCUGGUCUGAGAGGAUGAUCAGCCACACUGGAACUGAGACACGGUCCAGACUCCUACGGGAGGCAGCAGUGGGGAAUAUUGCACAAUGGGCGCAAGCCUGAUGCAGCCAUGCCGCGUGUAUGAAGAAGGCCUUCGGGUUGUAAAGUACUUUCAGUAGGGAGGAAGGUUCAUGCGUUAAUAGCGUAUGGAUUUGACGUUACCUACAGAAGAAGCACCGGCUAACUCCGUGCCAGCAGCCGCGGUAAUACGGAGGGUGCGAGCGUUAAUCGGAAUUACUGGGCGUAAAGCGCAUGCAGGUGGUUAGUUAAGUCAGAUGUGAAAGCCCGGGGCUCAACCUCGGAAUUGCAUUUGAAACUGGCUGACUAGAGUACUGUAGAGGGGGGUAGAAUUUCAGGUGUAGCGGUGAAAUGCGUAGAGAUCUGAAGGAAUACCGGUGGCGAAGGCGGCCCCCUGGACAGAUACUGACACUCAGAUGCGAAAGCGUGGGGAGCAAACAGGAUUAGAUACCCUGGUAGUCCACGCCGUAAACGAUGUCUACUUGGAGGUUGUGGCCUUGAGCCGUGGCUUUCGGAGCUAACGCGUUAAGUAGACCGCCUGGGGAGUACGGUCGCAAGAUUAAAACUCAAAUGAAUUGACGGGGGCCCGCACAAGCGGUGGAGCAUGUGGUUUAAUUCGAUGCAACGCGAAGAACCUUACCUACUCUUGACAUCCAUAGAACUUAGCAGAGAUGCUUUGGUGCCUUCGGGAACUAUGAGACAGGUGCUGCAUGGCUGUCGUCAGCUCGUGUUGUGAAAUGUUGGGUUAAGUCCCGCAACGAGCGCAACCCUUAUCCUUGUUUGCCAGCGAGUAAUGUCGGGAACUCCAGGGAGACUGCCGGUGAUAAACCGGAGGAAGGUGGGGACGACGUCCAGUCCUCAUGGCCCUUACGAGUUGGGCUACACACG
This 1201-nucleotide ribosomal RNA is filed under the name Vibrio sp. UST061013-017. RNAcentral's name for it is "bacterial SSU rRNA". It matches the Rfam family "Bacterial small subunit ribosomal RNA", at positions 42 to 1222 of the family's 1533-position model. The record is from RNAcentral. Lineage: Bacteria; Pseudomonadati; Pseudomonadota; Gammaproteobacteria; Vibrionales; Vibrionaceae.